GGCAGUUCUCAGAUGAUGCACCUUGGAAUCGGGCUCCCUCCUCUGGUUCUGGGCACGUCACCUGAGAACCGCA
Molecule: non-coding RNA, 73 nt
Organism: Myotis davidii
Lineage: Eukaryota; Metazoa; Chordata; Mammalia; Chiroptera; Vespertilionidae
Source: Rfam